Molecule: small nuclear RNA, 18 nt
Filed under: Arabidopsis thaliana (thale cress)
Lineage: Eukaryota; Viridiplantae; Streptophyta; Magnoliopsida; Brassicales; Brassicaceae
Description: snRNA_05469
Source: RNAcentral
GCCACGAUCCACUGAGAU